This 176-nucleotide ribosomal RNA is filed under the name uncultured bacterium. RNAcentral describes it as "partial 16S ribosomal RNA". It matches the Rfam family "Bacterial small subunit ribosomal RNA", at positions 158 to 334 of the family's 1533-position model. The record is from RNAcentral.
CCGGAUUAAUACCGCAUAUGCUCUACGGAGCAAAGUGGGCCUCUGAUUUAAGCUCAUGCUUUGAGAUAAGCCUAUGUCGGAUUAGCUUGUUGGUGGGGUAAAGCCUACCAAGGCGACGAUCCGUAGCUGGUUUGAGGAGGAUGAUCAGCCACCACUGGGACUGAGACACGGCCCAG